RNAcentral lists this ribosomal RNA (228 nucleotides) under uncultured bacterium. Its description in RNAcentral is "partial 16S ribosomal RNA". It matches the Rfam family "Bacterial small subunit ribosomal RNA", at positions 568 to 796 of the family's 1533-position model. The record is from RNAcentral.
UCCGUAGGCGGGCUAAUAAGUCAGGGGUGAAAUCCCACAGCUUAACUGUGGAACUGCCUUUGAUACUGUUAGUCUUGAGUUAUAUGGAAGUAGAUAGAAUGUGUAGUGUAGCGGUGAAAUGCAUAGAUAUUACACAGAAUACCGAUUGCGAAGGCAGUCUACUACGUAUAUACUGACGCUAAUGGACGAAAGCGUGGGGAGCGAACAGGAUUAGAUCCCUGGUAGUCC